RNAcentral lists this transfer RNA (75 nucleotides) under Marinomonas pontica. RNAcentral describes it as "tRNA-Gln". It matches the Rfam family "tRNA". Rfam says of the family: Transfer RNA (tRNA) molecules are approximately 80 nucleotides in length. The record is from RNAcentral. RNAcentral also lists the same sequence under 14 other names. Lineage: Bacteria; Pseudomonadati; Pseudomonadota; Gammaproteobacteria; Oceanospirillales; Oceanospirillaceae.
UGGGGUAUAGCCAAGCGGUAAGGCAACGGGUUUUGAUCCCGUCAUGCGUAGGUUCGAAUCCUUCUACCCCAGCCA